RNAcentral lists this unclassified non-coding RNA (264 nucleotides) under Hevea brasiliensis (rubber tree). Lineage: Eukaryota; Viridiplantae; Streptophyta; Magnoliopsida; Malpighiales; Euphorbiaceae. The record is from RNAcentral.
AAAAAAAGUAAAAUUUUGAACCCGCCCGGACCGUAUGCAUUUUCUUUCCCAUUGCGCUUUUGUGUUUCUCCGGGAGGAUAACCUCUAUUUUAAAAAUUCUUAACUUACCUCCAAAACUUCCUCUUAAACACGCCAAGGGAAUGUAAAGAAGUAAAGAGAGAAUGAUGAAAGUGAGAGCAGCUAUGGAAGAAGUAAUCAAUGAACUUACUGCCGAAGAAGAAGUAAAAGCAGUUAUGGAAAAAGAGAUCGGUGAACUUGCUAUCA